Molecule: small RNA, 256 nt
Filed under: Pan troglodytes (chimpanzee)
Lineage: Eukaryota; Metazoa; Chordata; Mammalia; Primates; Hominidae
Description: processed transcript
Source: RNAcentral
GUGGAAAAACUUGUGAAAUAUUUGGAUCCCAACGACCUGGGGAGAAUCAACUUCAAGGACUUUUGCCGGGGGGUGUUCGCCAUGAAAGGGUGCGAGGAGCUGCUGAAGGAUGUGCUGUCGGUGGAGAGCGCGGGGACGCUGCCGUGCGCGCCAGAGAUCCCAGACUGCGUGGAGCAGAGACCGGGUCUAGCUAUGUUGCCCAGGAUGGUCUCAAACUCCUGGCCUCAAGCAAGUCUCCCAGCUGGGCCUCCCAAGG